GUCAUGCUGAGCUUGCCGAAGCAUCUCUCCCGCUUCGUUGUGAUGCUACUCAGGCGAAGCGGGAGAGAUGCUUCGGCAAGCUCAGCAUGAU
RNAcentral lists this unclassified non-coding RNA (91 nucleotides) under Hymenobacter daecheongensis DSM 21074. Its description in RNAcentral is "Flavo-1 RNA". The record is from RNAcentral. Lineage: Bacteria; Pseudomonadati; Bacteroidota; Cytophagia; Cytophagales; Hymenobacteraceae.